This 458-nucleotide ribosomal RNA is filed under the name uncultured soil bacterium. Its description in RNAcentral is "bacterial SSU rRNA". It matches the Rfam family "Bacterial small subunit ribosomal RNA", at positions 26 to 474 of the family's 1533-position model. The record is from RNAcentral.
AGAUUGAACGCUGGCGGCAUGCUUUACACAUGCAAGUCGAACGGCAGCGCGGGGCAACCUGGCGGCGAGUGGCGAACGGGUGAGUAAUAUAUCGGAACGUACCCAAGAGUGGGGGAUAACGUAGCGAAAGUUACGCUAAUACCGCAUACGAUCUAAGGAUGAAAGCAGGGGGACCGCAAGGCCUUGUGCUCCUGGAGCGGCCGAUAUCUGAUUAGCUAGUUGGUAGGGUAAAGGCCUACCAAGGCUACGAUCAGUAGCUGGUCUGAGAGGACGACCAGCCACACUGGAACUGAGACACGGUCCAGACUCCUACGGGAGGCAGCAGUAGGGGAAUUUGGACAAUGGGCGCAAGCCUGGAUCCGAGCAAUGCCCGCGUGAGGUGAAGGAACGGGCCUUCGGGUUAGUAAAGUCGUUCUUUUUGUCGAAGGGAAGAAACGGGUGGGACUUAAGUACUUACC